RNAcentral lists this ribosomal RNA (904 nucleotides) under uncultured marine bacterium. Its description in RNAcentral is "bacterial SSU rRNA". It matches the Rfam family "Bacterial small subunit ribosomal RNA", at positions 8 to 916 of the family's 1533-position model. The record is from RNAcentral.
AGAGUUUGAUUCCCUGGCUCAGGACGAACGCUGGCGGUGCGCCUUAUGCAUGCAAGUCGAGCGAAGCUUUUCAGUAGUUUACUACAGAAAAUGACUGAGCGGCGAACGGGUGAGUAACGCGUGAGCAAUCUACCUUAGUUACAGGGAUAGCCCGAGGAAACUCGGAUUAAUACCUGAUAUUCUUUAUUUCUCGCAUGAGAAUAAAAGGAAAGGUCAGCCGAACUAAGAUGAGCUCGCGUUCUAUCAGCUAGUUGGUGAGGUAAAAGCUCACCAAGGCUACGACGGAUAGCUGGUCUGAGAGGACGAUCAGCCACACUGGGACUGAGACACGGCCCAGACUCCUACGGGAGGCUGCAGCAGGGAAUAUUGUGCAAUGAACGAAAGUUUGACACAGCGACACCGCGCGUGGGAUGACGGAUCUAGGUUUGUAAACCACUUUCAGGAGGGAAGAAAAUGACGGUACCUCCAUAAGAAGCCCCGGCCAACUACGUGCCAGCAGCCGCGGUAAUACGUAGGGGGCGAGCGUUGUCCGGAUUUAUUGGGCGUAAAGAGCUCGUAGGCGGUUCAACAAGUCGGUCGUGAAAGUUCAGGGCUCAACCCUGAAAUGUCGAUCGAUACUGUUGUGACUAGGAUACGGUAGAGGUGAGUGGAAUUCCGAGUGUAGCGGUGAAAUGCGUAGAUAUUCGGAGGAACACCAAUUGCGAAGGCAGCUCACUGGGCCGCUAUCGACGCUGAGGAGCGAAAGCUAGGGGAGCAAACAGGAUUAGAUACCCUGGUAGUCCUAGCUGUAAACGAUGGAUACUAGACGUAGAACUGGAUUGACGGUUUCUGUGUCGCAGCUAACGCGUUAAGUAUCCCGCCUGGGGAGUACGGUCGCAAGACUAAAACUCAAAGGAAUUGACGG